UGCCAGCCGCCGCGGUAAUACGGAGGGGGUUAGCGUUGUUCGGAAUUACUGGGCGUAAAGCGCGCAUAGGCGGACUAUUAAGUCAGGGGUGAAAUCCCGGGGCUCAACCCCGGAACUGCCUUUGAUACUGGUAGUCUUGAGUUCGAGAGAGGUGAGUGGAAUUCCGAGUGUAGGGGUGAAAUCCGUAGAUAUUAGGAGGAACACCAGAGGCGAAGGCGACUAUCUGGGCCAUUACUGACGCUAAGGUACGAAAGCGUGGGGAGCGAACGGGAUUAGAUA
Molecule: ribosomal RNA, 279 nt
Filed under: uncultured bacterium
Lineage: Bacteria
Description: partial 16S ribosomal RNA
Rfam family: Bacterial small subunit ribosomal RNA
Source: RNAcentral